Molecule: ribosomal RNA, 429 nt
Filed under: uncultured bacterium
Lineage: Bacteria
Description: bacterial SSU rRNA
Rfam family: Bacterial small subunit ribosomal RNA
Source: RNAcentral
ACGAACGCUGGCGGCAGGCCUAACACAUGCAAGUCGAACGCCCCGCAAGGGGAGUGGCAGACGGGUGAGUAACACGUGGGAACCUUCCCUAUGGUUCGGAAUAGCCCAGGGAAACUUGGGGUAAUACCGGAUAAGCCCUUCGGGGGAAAGAUUUAUCGCCAUUGGAUGGGCCCGCGUCGGAUUAGCUAGUUGGUGAGGUAACGGCUCACCAAGGCGACGAUCCGUAGCUGGUCUGAGAGGAUGAUCAGCCACACUGGGACUGAGACACGGCCCAGACUCCUACGGGAGGCAGCAGUGGGGAAUAUUGGACAAUGGGCGCAAGCCUGAUCCAGCCAUGCCGCGUGAGUGACGAAGGCCUUAGGGUUGUAAAGCUCUUUUGGCGGGGAAGAUAAUGACGGUACCCGCAGAAUAAGCUCCGGCUAACUUCGU